UCGGGAAUAUUGCGCAAUGGAGGAAACUCUGACGCAGUGACGCCGCGUAUAGGAAGAAGGUUUUCGGAUUGUAAACUAUUGUCGUUAGGGAAGAUAAAAGACUGUACCUAAGGAGGAAGCCCCGGCUAACUAUGUGCCAGCAGCCGCGGUAAUACAUAGGGGGCAAGCGUUAUCCGGAAUUAUUGGGUGUAAAGGGUGCGUAGACGGAAGAAUAAGUUGGUUGUGAAAUCCCUCGGCUCAACUGAGGAACUGCAACCAAAACUAUUCUCCUUGAGUGUCGGAGAGGAAAGUGGAAUUCCUAGUGUAGCGGUGAAAUGCGUAGAUAUUAGGAGGAACACCAGUGGCGAAGGCGACUUUCUGGACGAUAACUGACGUUGAGGCACGAAAGUGUGGGGAGCAAACAGGAUUAGAUACCC
This 416-nucleotide ribosomal RNA is filed under the name uncultured bacterium. RNAcentral's name for it is "bacterial SSU rRNA". It matches the Rfam family "Bacterial small subunit ribosomal RNA", at positions 355 to 787 of the family's 1533-position model. The record is from RNAcentral.